Molecule: ribosomal RNA, 253 nt
Filed under: uncultured bacterium
Lineage: Bacteria
Description: partial 16S ribosomal RNA
Rfam family: Bacterial small subunit ribosomal RNA
Source: RNAcentral
UACGUAGGGUGCAAGCGUUAAUCGGAAUUACUGGGCGUAAAGCGUGCGUAGGCGGCUAUGUAAGACAGAUGUGAAAUCCCUGGGCUUAACCUAGGAACUGCAUUUGUGACUGCAUUGCUAGAGUGUGGUAGAGGGAGAUGGAAUUCCGCAUGUAGCAGUGAAAUGCGUAGAUAUGCGGAGGAACACCAAUGGCGAAGGCAAUCUCCUGGACCUGCACUGACGCUCAUGCACGAAAGCGUGGGGAGCAAACAGG